RNAcentral lists this ribosomal RNA (492 nucleotides) under uncultured bacterium. RNAcentral's name for it is "partial 16S ribosomal RNA". It matches the Rfam family "Bacterial small subunit ribosomal RNA", at positions 29 to 507 of the family's 1533-position model. The record is from RNAcentral.
AGUGAACGCUGGCGGUAGGCCUAACACAUGCAAGUCGAACGGCAGCACAGUAAGAGCUUGCUCUUACGGGUGGCGAGUGGCGGACGGGUGAGGAAUACAUCGGAAUCUACUUUUUCGUGGGGGAUAACGUAGGGAAACUUACGCUAAUACCGCAUACGACCUACGGGUGAAAGCAGGGGAUCUUCGUACCUUGCGCGAUUGAAUGAGCCGAUGUCGGAUUAGCUAGUUGGCGGGGUAAAGGCCCACCAAGGCGACGAUCCGUAGCUGGUCUGAGAGGAUGAUCAGCCACACUGGAACUGAGACACGGUCCAGACUCCUACGGGAGGCAGCAGUAGGGAAUCUUGGACAAUGGGCGCAAGCCUGAUCCAGCCAUACCGCGUGGGUGAAGAAGGCCUUCGGGUUGUAAAGCCCUUUUGUUGGGAAAGAAAAGCAGCAGGUUAAUACCCCGCUGUUCUGACGGUACCCAAAGAAUAAGCACCGGCUAACUUCGUG